CCGAUAAAACUGCUAAUGAAAUUUCUCGACCAACUUCUCCCAACUCUGGACGAAAUUCGGUGGGAGGUUGAUAUACCAAGCAAAUGCUGAACCGGUCAGUGAAAAAUUGAAAAGUCUUAGCUUGUGAAAGUCGUUAUUGACAUCUCCGCAUUACGCGGUGAAGCGAGCCACAUGUUCUAAUGAGGAUAAGGAUGAUUCUCCGGUAAAAAGGCUAAAAUCUGGGAUUUUGAAACCUCUAGGGUAUUCGAACUGUUCCACAUAAGCUGGAUACGGAUGUAUAAAUUUAGGGAACUUCGGCCCUUUCUUCAUGG
This 311-nucleotide long non-coding RNA is filed under the name Malus domestica (apple). RNAcentral's name for it is "long non-coding RNA (MDOM_LNC012359)". Lineage: Eukaryota; Viridiplantae; Streptophyta; Magnoliopsida; Rosales; Rosaceae. The record is from RNAcentral.